ACUGCUCAGUAACACGUGGACAACCUGCCCUUAGGUUGGGUAUAAACCCGGGAAACUGGGUAUAAUACCCGAUAGGUCUCGAUUGCUGGAAUGCAUCGAGAUUUAAAGCUCCGGCGCCUAAGGAUGGGUCUGCGGCCUAUCAGGUAGUAGUGGGUGUAGCGUACCUACUAGCCUACGACGGGUACGGGUUGUGAGAGCAAGAGCCCGGAGAUGGAUUCUGAGACACGAAUCCAGGCCCUACGGGGUGCAGCAGGCGCGAAAACUUUACAAUGCUGGCAACAGCGAUAAGGGAACCUCGAGUGCCAGGUUACAAAUCUGGCUGUCGAGAUGCCUAAAAAGCAUUUCAUAGCAAGGGCCGGGCAAGACCGGUGCCAGCCGCCGCGAUAACACCGGCGGCUCGAGUGGUAACCGUUAUUAUUGGGUCUAAAGGGUCUGUAGCCGGCCGGAUAAGUCUCUUGAGAAAUCUGGCAGCUUAACUGUCAGGCUUUCAGGAGAUACUGUCUGGCUCGAGGCCGGGAGAGGUGAGAGGUACUUCAGGGGUAGGGGUGAAAUCUUGUAAUCCUUGAAGGACCACCAGUGGCGAAGGCGUCUCACCAGAACGGACCUGACGGCAAGGGACGAAAGCUAGGGGCACGAACCGGAUUAGAUACCCGGGUAGUCCUAGCCGUAAACGAUACUCGCUAGGUGUCGGCCACGGUGCGACCGUUGUCGGUGCCGUAGGGAAGCCGUGAAGCGAGCCACCUGGGAAGUACGGCCGCAAGGCUGAAACUUAAAGGAAUUGGCGGGGGAGCAC
Molecule: ribosomal RNA, 793 nt
Filed under: uncultured archaeon
Lineage: Archaea
Description: bacterial SSU rRNA
Rfam family: Archaeal small subunit ribosomal RNA
Source: RNAcentral